AUUGAACGCUGGCGGCAGGCUUAACACAUGCAAGUCGAGCGGAGAUGAGGUGCUUGCACCUUAUCUUAGCGGCGGACGGGUGAGUAAUGCUUAGGAAUCUGCCUAUUAGUGGGGGACAACAUUCCGAAAGGAAUGCUAAUACCGCAUACGCCCUACGGGGGAAAGCAGGGGAUCUUCGGACCUUGCGCUAAUAGAUGAGCCUAAGUCGGAUAAGCUAGUUGGUGGGGUAAAGGCCUACCAAGGCGACGAUCUGUAGCGGGUCUGAGAGGAUGAUCCGCCACACUGGGACUGAGACACGGCCCAGACUCCUACGGGAGGCAGCAGUGGGGAAUAUUGGACAAUGGGCGGAAGCCUGAUCCAGCCAUGCCGCGUGUGUGAAGAAGGCCUUUUGGUUGUAAAGCACUUUAAGCGAGGAGGAGGCUACCUGGAUUAAUACUCUAGGAUAGUGGACGUUACUCGCAGAAUAAGCACCGGCUAACUCUGUGCCAGCCGCCGCCGUAA
RNAcentral lists this ribosomal RNA (501 nucleotides) under uncultured bacterium. RNAcentral's name for it is "partial 16S ribosomal RNA". It matches the Rfam family "Bacterial small subunit ribosomal RNA", at positions 30 to 523 of the family's 1533-position model. The record is from RNAcentral.